RNAcentral lists this ribosomal RNA (252 nucleotides) under uncultured Bacteroidales bacterium. RNAcentral describes it as "partial 16S ribosomal RNA". It matches the Rfam family "Bacterial small subunit ribosomal RNA", at positions 524 to 776 of the family's 1533-position model. Lineage: Bacteria; Pseudomonadati; Bacteroidota; Bacteroidia; Bacteroidales. The record is from RNAcentral.
UACGGAGGAUGCGAGCGUUAUCCGGAUUUAUUGGGUUUAAAGGGUGCGCAGGCGGUCUGUUAAGUCAGCGGUCAAAGCCCGGGGCUCAACCCCGGCCCGCCGUUGAAACUGGCAGUCUCGAGUUGGAGAGAAGUAUGCGGAAUGCGCGGUGUAGCGGUGAAAUGCAUAGAGAUCGGGAGGAACACCAGUGGCGAAGGCGGCCUGCUGGGCUUUAACUGACGCUGAAGCACGAAAGCGUGGGUAGCAAACAGG